RNAcentral lists this ribosomal RNA (1124 nucleotides) under uncultured organism. RNAcentral's name for it is "bacterial SSU rRNA". It matches the Rfam family "Bacterial small subunit ribosomal RNA", at positions 312 to 1439 of the family's 1533-position model. The record is from RNAcentral.
AUCGGGACUGAGACACUGCCCGGACCCCCACGGGGGGCUGCAGUAACGAAUAUUGCGCAAUGGACGAAAGUCUGACGCAGCGACGCCGUGUGCAGGAUGAAGCCCUUCGGGGUGUAAACUGCUGACAGGGUGAAGAAAGGCUUCGGCUUGAUCUAACCCAGAGGAAGGACCGGCUAACUUCGUGCCAGCAGCCGCGGUAAUACGAAGGGUCCAAGCGUUGUUCGGAAUUACUGGGCUUAAAGCGCACGCAGGCGGGAGACUAAGUGCCUUGUGAAAUCCCUCGGCUUAACCGAGGAACUGCUUGGCAUACUGGUUUCCUUGAGGCAAGUAAGGGCGCGUGGAACUCUAGGUGGAGCGGUGAAAUGCGUAGAUAUCUAGAGGAACGCCAGUGGAGAAGUCGGCGCGCUGGGCUUGUCCUGACGCUGAGGUGCGAAAGCGUGGGUAGCGAACAGGAUUAGAUACCCUGGUAGUCCACGCCGUAAACGAUGUCUACUAGGUCGCGGAGGUUCUGACGCUUUCGCGGCCGGAGUUAAAGCAUUAAGUAGACCGCCUGGGGAGUACGGUCGCAAGGCUAAAACUCAAAGGAAUUGACGGGGGCUCACACAAGCGGUGGAGCAUGUGGCUUAAUUCGAAGCAACGCGAAGAACCUUAUCCUGGGUUUGACAUGCAUGGAUGCCUGCUAUGAAAGUAGUUAGGUUGCCUUCGGGUGAAACAUGCACAGGUGCUGCAUGGCUGUCGUCAGCUCGUGUCGUGAGAUGUUGGGUUAAGUCCCUUAACGAGCGAAACCCUUGUCGCUAGUUACCAGCGGGUCAUGCCGGGGACUCUAGCGAGACUGCCGGUGUCAAACCGGAGGAAGGUGGGGAUGACGUCAAGUCCUCAUGGCCUUUAUGCCCAGGGCUGCACACGUGCUACAAUGGCGAGUACAAACCGACGCAAUACCGUGAGGUGGAGCAAAUCGGAAAAAACUCGCCCCAGUUCGGAUUGCAGGCUGCAACUCGCCUGCAUGAAGUUGGAAUCGCUAGUAAUCGCAGAUCAGCCAUGCUGCGGUGAAUAAGUUCCUGAGCNUUGUACACACCGCCCGUCAAGUCACGGAAGCUGGGAGUACCUGAAGUCGGGUAGUCAAC